AAAGAGAAAACAAGUAACCACUCUAGUGCAGCCCAAAGUAAGGGGAAGGUUUCGUCUUCACAAAUCUACUCAAAGUGAAAAGUUGAAGUGGUGCAGUCGGUAGAUGACGAAGGGGCGCCAGAGGGCAAGCCCGACCACCGGAUUGCCCUGCGAGUGAAUGAUUGGGGAAUUUGACCCUGAUCCUCGGCAGCGUGGGUACGAUUGCGUCAAAGUGGAUGUAGCGGAAGGCGAUGACGGUGACGGCGGCGGCUGUCUGCGCCCCCCAGCCUCUCUCCAGUACCUCGAGGGCACCAUGGCCGAACAAGCGCAGGGUGUCGCCGUCCAGCUCGGCUAAAUGACUGUCGGACAGCGAUAGGCUCGUCACGCUUCCUGCUUCUGUCAGCCUGAAAUAUACACAAAACCAUUGUUGUUUUUGUUUUGCCGGGCCGACGAAACCCGAAAACCUGGCCAAAAGGCCAAACUCUGCGCGUUCACCUUAGUCUUAACUAGGGCUGUCAAAAUUAUCGCGUUAACGGACGGUAAUUAAUUUUUUUAAUUAAUCGCGUUAAAAUAUUUGACGCUUGGGUGCGACUGAUUUUAUGGGCUUAAGCACCCAUGAGCAUUGUGUAAUUAUUGACAUCAACAAUGGUGGGCUACUAGUUUAUUUUUUGAUUGAAAAUUUUACAAAUUUUAUUAAAACAAAAACAUUAAGAGGGGUUUUAAUUAGGGCUGUCAAACGAUUAAAAUUUUUAAUCGAGUUAAUUACAGCUUAAAAUUAAUUAAUCGUUAUUAAUCGCAAUUAAUCGCAAUUCAAACCGUCUAUAAAAUAUGCAAUAUUUUUCUGUAAAUUAUAUAUAUAUUCUGUAAAUUAAAUUGUUGGAAUGGAAAGAUAAGACACAAGAUGGAUAUAUACAUUCCACAUACGGUACAUAAGGACUGCAGUGGGCAUUUCACUGUACUGUCAUUUAAAUCUGUCUGUGCUGUCCUCACUCCGAAGCGUCUACUUUUUCCAAAGCUAGACAGCUAGUGAACGACGCCUUAAUAAUUAGACUUCUUCCUUUUUCAUCUGAUUUAUUAAUAAAAUGGGCUCAAACCAUUCUCCUCUUUAGACCGUCGUAAAACUACAAAAUAAAAGUACACAAGCAUUGCAUUAGCAACAACGUUAGCUUAGCACGCUAUACAGGUUCACUAAACAUAAACAAAAAGCGUCUCAUACAAAAAAUAUAACAUUUCGCUUACUAACAUAAUAUGUACAUUCUUUACAACAACCAUACUUACGGACAAAUCUUGUCCAAGGAUCAUAUAAGCACCACAUUAUCAGCCCGAGACGUCGUGCAGCCAUAUUGAACUGGACUGAAAACAAUAAACCAUGUCGCAAAGCGACCACAAGAGUUUGCUGUUGGACAGCACAAAAAGCCUUGCUGUAAAACUUACCAAAAGGCAGAAUAGUUUCUGAGCGGGACAUGUGCGUUAAUUGCGUCAAAUAUUUUAACGUGAUUAAUUAAAAAAAUUAAUUACCGCGCGUUAACGCGAUAAUUUUGACAGCCCUAGUUUUAAUAUAAAAUUUCUAUAACUUGUACUAACAUCUUUUAAGAACUACAAGUC
This is a long non-coding RNA of Corythoichthys intestinalis (scribbled pipefish), 1584 nucleotides long. RefSeq lists it as uncharacterized. The transcript is spliced from 3 exons. The record is from RefSeq and is a predicted model, not a curated record. Lineage: Eukaryota; Metazoa; Chordata; Actinopteri; Syngnathiformes; Syngnathidae.